AUACUACUCCCUCCGUUCUAAAUUAUUUGUCUUAGAUUUGUCUAGUUACGGAAAUAUCUAGCAAUAAAAUGAAUCUAGAUAUAUCCGUAUCUAGACAAAUCCAAAACAAGUAAUUCGAAACGGAGGAAGUACUAC
Molecule: non-coding RNA, 135 nt
Organism: Triticum aestivum (bread wheat)
Lineage: Eukaryota; Viridiplantae; Streptophyta; Magnoliopsida; Poales; Poaceae
Source: Rfam